RNAcentral lists this ribosomal RNA (425 nucleotides) under uncultured bacterium. RNAcentral describes it as "partial 16S ribosomal RNA". It matches the Rfam family "Bacterial small subunit ribosomal RNA", at positions 354 to 796 of the family's 1533-position model. The record is from RNAcentral.
GUGGGGAAUAUUGGGCAAUGGGCGAAAGCCUGACCCAGCAACGCCGCGUGAAGGAAGAAGGUUUUCGGAUCGUAAACUUCUAUCCUUGGUGAAGAUAAUGACGGUAGCCAAGAAGGAAGCCCCGGCUAACUACGUGCCAGCAGCCGCGGUAAUACGUAGGGGUCAAGCGUUUUCCGGAAUGAUUGGGCGUAAAGGGCGCGUAGGCGGCCCGGUAAGUCUGAAGUGAAAGUCCUGCUUUUAAGGUGGGAAUUGCUUUGGAUACUGUCGGGCUUGAGUGCAGGAGAGGUAAGCGGAAUUCCCGGUGUAGCGGUGAAAUGCGUAGAGAUCGGGAGGAACACGAGUGGCGAAGGCGGCUUACUGGACUGUAACUGACGCUGAGGCGCGAAAGUGUGGGGAGCAAACAGGAUUAGAAACCCGGGUAGUCC